AUGGCAGCAAGCACAGGGGCUUCAGGAUGGCUAAGUGGCAAGGUGAAGGCUGUGACAUCUGGAGACUGCCUUCUCAUCAUGGGGAGCACAAAGGCAGAGAUUCCACCAGAGAAGUCCAUCACUCUGUCACACCUAAUGGCCCCAAGGCUGGCUCGUCGUGGUGGAGUGGAUGAGCCAUUUGCUUGGGAAAGCAGGGAGUAUCUGAGGAAACUCUGCGUAGGAAAGGAGGUCACAUUUAGAGUGGAUUACACUGCUCCUAACAUCGGACGAGUAUUUGGCACUGUCUACCUUGGCGACAAGAUCGUUGCCUACUUGGUGGUUGCUGCAGGAUGGGCAAGGGAACCUGGUGCUGCCGAAGAUUCGAUAAAAGAUCUUCCACCUUCAGCAAUUGGCGAACUAAGUGGUUUUGAUGCAAAGGGUUUUGCAGUUGCAAAUAAAGGCAAGAGUCUGGAAGCCAAAUUUGACCUAAAUCUCUAUUCAUAUGAUGGCUGGCGGCGGAUCUGUGAUACCUGGAGUGAGUGUAUCUGGCGGCGGAUCCUGGACGUCUCCGGUGAUGGGUCCUGGAAGGGAUCGGUGCCGGAUCCUGGAAGCGAUCAGCGGAGGGUCCUGCACGGGACCCGGGCCGGAUCUAAUGGAUGUGCGAGUUACGCGCCGGCGGUUUUGAUGUGCCAGGGCGGCAGUGCAUGGAUGGAUGGGUGGCGAUUUGACCUAAAUCUCUAUUCAUAUGAUGGCUGGCGGCGGAUCUGUGAUACCUGGAGUGAGUGUAUCUGGCGGCGGAUCCUGGACGUCUCCGGUGAUGGGUCCUGGAAGGGAUCGGUGCCGGAUCCUGGAAGCGAUCAGCGGAGGGUCCUGCACGGGACCCGGGCCGGAUCUAAUGGAUGUGCGAGUUACGCGCCGGCGGUUUUGAUGUGCCAGGGCGGCAGUGCAUGGAUGGAUGGGUGGCGGUGA
This 948-nucleotide ribosomal RNA is filed under the name Triticum aestivum (bread wheat). Its description in RNAcentral is "partial small subunit ribosomal RNA". Lineage: Eukaryota; Viridiplantae; Streptophyta; Magnoliopsida; Poales; Poaceae. The record is from RNAcentral.